ACAGAGGGUGAGAAUCCCGUACGUGGUCGCUGGCUAUUGCCGUGUAAAGCCCCUUCGACGAGUCGAGUUGUUUGGGAAUGCAGCUCUAAAUGGGAGGUACAUUUCUUCUAAAGCUAAAUAUUGGCCAGAGACCGAUAGCGCACAAGUAGAGUGAUCGAAAGAUGAAAAGCACUUUGGAAAGAGAGUCAAACAGCACGUGAAAUUGUUGAAAGGGAAGCGCUUGCAGCCAGACUUGCUUACAGUUGCUCAUCCGGGUUUCUACCCGGUGCACUCUUCUGUAGGCAGGCCAGCAUCAGUUUGGGCGGUAGGAUAAAGGUCUCUGUCACGUACCUCCUUUCGGGGAGGCCUUAUAGGGGAGACGACAUACUACCAGCCUGGACUGAGGUCCGCGCAUCUGCUAGGAUGCUGGCGUAAUGGCUGUAAGCGGCCCGUCUUGAAACACGGACCAAGGAGUCUAACAUCUAUGCGAGUGUUUGGGUGUCAAGCCCGAGCGCGUAAUGAAAGUGAACGGAGGUGGGAACCCGCAAGGGUGCACCAUCGACCGAUCCUGAUGUCUUCGGAAGGAUUUGAGUAAGAGCAUGGCUGUUGGGACCCGAAAGAUGGUGAACUAUGCUUGAAUAGGGUGAAGCCAGAGGAAACUCUGGUGGAGGCUCGCAGCGGUUCUGACGUGCAAAUCGAUCGUCAAAUUUGGGCAUAGGGGCGAAAGACUAAUCGAACAUCAUGGC
This 725-nucleotide ribosomal RNA is filed under the name Alternaria tenuissima. Its description in RNAcentral is "partial large subunit ribosomal RNA". It matches the Rfam family "Eukaryotic large subunit ribosomal RNA", at positions 205 to 951 of the family's 3401-position model. The record is from RNAcentral. Lineage: Eukaryota; Fungi; Ascomycota; Dothideomycetes; Pleosporales; Pleosporaceae.